UGGGGAAUAUUGCACAAUGGAGGGAACUCUGAUGCAGCGACGCCGCGUGAGUGAUGAAGGAAUUCGUUUCGUAAAACUCUGUUCUAUGGGAAGAAAAGGACUGUACCAUAGGAGAAAGCUCCGGCUAAAUACGUGCCAGCAGCCGCGGUAAUACGUAUGGAGCGAGCGUUGUCCGGAAUUAUUGGGCGUAAAGGGUGCGCAGGCAGCUUUACAAGUUGGAUGUGAAAUAUUGUGGCUCAACCACAAACGUGCAUCCAAAACUGCAAAGCUUGAGUUAAGGAGAGGUAAGUGGAAUUCCUGGUGUAGCGGUGGAAUGCGUAGAUAUCAGGAGGAAUACCGGUGGCGAAGGCGACUUACUGGACUUAAACUGACGCUCAGGCACGAAAGCGUGGGGAGCAAACAGG
This 404-nucleotide ribosomal RNA is filed under the name Fusobacteriota bacterium. RNAcentral describes it as "Fusobacteria bacterium partial 16S ribosomal RNA". It matches the Rfam family "Bacterial small subunit ribosomal RNA", at positions 355 to 776 of the family's 1533-position model. Lineage: Bacteria; Fusobacteriati; Fusobacteriota. The record is from RNAcentral.